ACAGGUGGUGCAUGGUUGUCGUCAGCUCGUGUCGUGAGAUGUUGGGUUAAGUCCCGCAACGAGCGCAACCCUCGUCCUAUGUUGCCAGCGGGUCAUGCCGGGACUCAUGGGAGACUGCCGGGGUCAACUCGGAGGAAGGUGGGGAUGACGUCAAAUCAUCAUGCCCCUUAUGUCUUGGGCUUCACGCAUGCUACAAUGGCCGGUACAAAGGGCUGCGAUACCGCGAGGUGGAGCGAAUCCCAGAAAGCCGGUCUCAGUUCGGAUUGGGGUCUGCAACUCGACCCCAUGAAGUCGGAGUCGCUAGUAAUCGCAGAUCAGCAACGCUGCGGUGAAUACGUUCCCGGGCCUU
Molecule: ribosomal RNA, 349 nt
Filed under: uncultured Cellulomonas sp.
Lineage: Bacteria; Bacillati; Actinomycetota; Actinomycetes; Micrococcales; Cellulomonadaceae
Description: bacterial SSU rRNA
Rfam family: Bacterial small subunit ribosomal RNA
Source: RNAcentral